UGGGCAACCUGCCCCUCUCUCUGGGAUAACCCCGGGAAACCGGAGCUAAUACCGGAUACUCCGGCUGGAUCGCAUGGUCCGGCCGGGAAAGGUCCGCCGGAGAGGGAUGGGCCCGCGGCCUAUCAGCUUGUUGGUGGGGUAACGGCUCACCAAGGCUACGACGGGUAGCUGGUCUGAGAGGACGACCAGCCACACUGGAACUGAGAUACGGCCCAGACUCCUACGGGAGCA
This 231-nucleotide ribosomal RNA is filed under the name uncultured bacterium. RNAcentral's name for it is "partial 16S ribosomal RNA". It matches the Rfam family "Bacterial small subunit ribosomal RNA", at positions 118 to 347 of the family's 1533-position model. The record is from RNAcentral.